This is a small nuclear RNA of Ochotona princeps (American pika), 105 nucleotides long. Lineage: Eukaryota; Metazoa; Chordata; Mammalia; Lagomorpha; Ochotonidae. The record is from RefSeq and is a predicted model, not a curated record.
GUUCACUUUGGCAGCACAUGUACUAAAAUUGGAACGAUAUAGAGAAAAAGAGCAUGGCCCCUGUGCAAGGGUGACAAGUAAACAAACAAAUAAAAAUAAAUAAAA